RNAcentral lists this transfer RNA (76 nucleotides) under Oscillospiraceae bacterium. RNAcentral describes it as "tRNA-Pro". It matches the Rfam family "tRNA". From Rfam's summary of the family: Transfer RNA (tRNA) molecules are approximately 80 nucleotides in length. Their secondary structure includes four short double-helical elements and three loops (D, anti-codon, and T loops). The record is from RNAcentral. Lineage: Bacteria; Bacillati; Bacillota; Clostridia; Eubacteriales; Oscillospiraceae.
CCGGGUAUAGCCCAGUUGGUAGGGCGGGUGCUUUGGGAGCAUCAGGCCGCGCGUUCGAGUCGCGCUACUCGGACCA